GAUGAAGAACGUAGCGAAAUGCGAUAAGUAAUGUGAAUUGCAGAAUUCAGUGAAUCAUCGAAUCUUUGAACGCAUCUUACGCUCCUUGGUAUUCUGAGGAGCAUGCCUGUUUGAGUGUCAUUAAAUUCUCAACUACACUGACUUUGAAUUGGUGUGGCUUGGAUUUGGGGGGAAAAUUGUUGUGGGCUUUUUGUAUAGUCUGCUCCCCUGAAAUUGAUUAGCGGUACCUUUGUGGAACUGUCUACAGGUGUGAUAAUUAUCUACAUCUUAGACAUCUGCUGGAAUGCUGCUUUCUAAACCUUACUUGUAUUGACAAUCUUGACCUCAAAUCAGGUAGGACUACCCGCUGAACUUAAGCAUAUCAAUAAGCGGAGGA
Molecule: unclassified non-coding RNA, 376 nt
Filed under: soil metagenome
Description: partial contains 5.8S ribosomal RNA, internal transcribed spacer 2, and large subunit ribosomal RNA
Rfam family: 5.8S ribosomal RNA (bases 1-120)
Source: RNAcentral